AAGUGGAGCAAUCCAUGAGUAAAGUGGCGACCGGGUGAGUAACACGUGACUAACCUACCUUCGAGUGGGGGAUAACCUCGGGAAACCGAGGCUAAUACCGCAUAACAUCGCAAGAUCAAAGCAGCAAUGCGCUGGAAGAGGGGGUCGCGGCUGAUUAGCUAGUUGGCGGGGUAACGGCCCACCAAGGCGAAGAUCGGUAUCCGGCCUGAGAGGGCGCACGGACACACUGGAACUGAAACACGGUCCAGACUCCUACGGGAGGCAGCAGUGGGGAAUUUUGCGCAAUGGGGGAAACCCUGACGCAGCAACGCCGCGUGGAGGAUGAAGCCCCUUGGG
RNAcentral lists this ribosomal RNA (336 nucleotides) under uncultured bacterium. RNAcentral's name for it is "bacterial SSU rRNA". It matches the Rfam family "Bacterial small subunit ribosomal RNA", at positions 72 to 422 of the family's 1533-position model. The record is from RNAcentral.